Long non-coding RNA from Daphnia magna, 638 nucleotides. RefSeq lists it as uncharacterized. The transcript is spliced from 7 exons. The record is from RefSeq and is a predicted model, not a curated record. NCBI's taxonomy places the organism in Eukaryota, Metazoa, Arthropoda, Branchiopoda, Diplostraca, Daphniidae.
CAUCAAUAGGGUGGUCUGUGCUAUGUGAUUGCAUUGUUACUGCUGGAGUGAGCAAUUUCAGAUUGCGUCAUGAUGGCGUGCCCCGUUAGCGUCGUGAUCGGCGUGCCCUGUUAGCGUCAUGGUUGGCGUGCCCUGUGUUAGCGUCAUGAUUGGCGUGCCCUGUGUUAACACGAUAUGUUUUAUUUAUUCGUGUGCUGUGAUUUCAACACCAGCAUUGGUCAGAGGAGACUCGCAAGCAGCAAGGAAAGGAGGAAAGGAGGCUGCUCUUCAUCAGCCAGAAGUUUGAUACAAAGGAGUACACAAGUUGAUUUCAUUACUUAUAAGCAAAGUCAAUUUUUUGGAUAUAGAUGGGCAGCAAUUUUAUCGAGCCAUGACAUCUGAUUUCUGUUAUCCUGCUUAUGGUGACCUGUCACUUGAUGAUAAGCCAAACCUAAGUUGCCUCUAGGAAUUAUGAAUGUCAAAUUUGGGACACAGCUGUGCAGUUUUUUUAUCGAGUUCUGACAUCUGAAGACCACCAUUAUUACCUGUUGACGGGACCAAGAAAAGGAAUUUUGCCGGUAUCAUCGCAUAACUUCCGCCAAAUACCAAGUAAUCUCCCUGUGGACUCCUUUGUCAAACUUCUAGCUGAUGAAGAGGAG